This 301-nucleotide ribosomal RNA is filed under the name uncultured bacterium. RNAcentral describes it as "partial 16S ribosomal RNA". It matches the Rfam family "Bacterial small subunit ribosomal RNA", at positions 509 to 809 of the family's 1533-position model. The record is from RNAcentral.
CAGUAGCCGCGGUAAUACGAAGGGUGCAAGCGUUAAUCGGAAUUACUGGGCGUAAAGCGCGCGUAUGUGGUUUGGUAAGAUGGAUGUGAAAUCCCCGGGCUCAACCUGGGAACUGCAUCCAUAACUGCCUGACUAGAGUACGGUAGAGGGUGGUGGAAUUUCCUGUGUAGCGGUUAAAUUCGUAGAUAUAGGAAGGAACACCAGUGGCGAAGGCGACCACCUGGACUGAUACUGACACUGAGGUGCGAAAGCGUGGGGAGCAAACAGGAUUAGAUACCCGCGUAGUCCCUGUCUCUUAUAA